Cajanus cajan (pigeon pea) is the source of this 697-nucleotide non-coding RNA. The record is from RefSeq and is a predicted model, not a curated record. NCBI's taxonomy places the organism in Eukaryota, Viridiplantae, Streptophyta, Magnoliopsida, Fabales, Fabaceae.
AUAGGUAGGAGAUCUUGGUUAUGCUCCUGAGCUUGGAAAUUAUGCAGAGUAUAGUGGUGCACCCAAGGAAGAUGAAGUCUUGCAGCAUGCCAGAGUUGUGAUUGAUUGUGCAACUUCAGACCCUGAUGGCCAAAAGCGAGCCCUUGUGAUAGGGGGAGGAAUAGCUAACUUUACCGAUGUUGCUGCUACAUUCAGCGGCAUAAUUCGCGCUCUGAAGGAGAAGGAACAAAAGCUAAAAGAAGCAAAGAUGCACAUUUAUGUGAGGAGAGGAGGUCCCAACUACCAAAAGGGUCUAGCUAAAAUGAGGGCACUUGGAGAGGAAAUUGGCAUCCCCAUUGAGGUUUAUGGACCUGAAGCAACAAUGACUGGUAUAUGCAAACAGGCAAUCCAGUGUAUCACUAUUGCUGCUUAGUUAUCCAUUAUUAGGUCAAUGCCUUCUUCUACAAGUAUUUUCAUGGCUAGUUUGAAGUGAUUGUUGAUUCUUAAUUCCCUUUACCACUCUCGGAAUUGAUGAGCAUAGGUUGUUAUAAAUUAGUCAUUUAGUCAUCCAAUAAAGUGGUCAAGAGUGUUUUGUAUCGUCUAGAAUUCUGGUAGUACAGUGUUGAGACAAUAAAGUGCCAAAUGUAAUUGUUAUAUGUUAAGCUGCAAUUUCAUUGUUCCGGAUUUACUUUCAUUUAGUAAAUUGGUUUUCUUUCCA